CCCAGAACACCAGCCUCAUCAACCAGAAGAAGAAGAUGGAUGCUGACCUGUCCCAGCUCCAGACUGAAGUGGAGGAGGCAGUGCAGGAGUGCAGGAAUGCUGAGGAGAAGGCCAAGAAGGCCAUCACGGAUGCCGCCAUGAUGGCAGAGGAGCUGAAGAAGGAGCAGGACACCAGCGCCCACCUGGAGCGCAUGAAGAAGAACAUGGAACAGACCAUUAAGGACCUGCAGCACCGGCUGGACGAAGCCGAGCAGAUCGCCCUCAAGGGCGGCAAGAAGCAGCUGCAGAAGCUGGAAGCGCGGGUGCGGGAGCUGGAGAAUGAGCUGGAGGCCGAGCAGAAGCGCAACGCAGAGUCGGUGAAGGGCAUGAGGAAGAGCGAGCGGCGCAUCAAGGAGCUCACCUACCAGACGGAGGAGGACAGGAAAAACCUGCUGCGGCUGCAGGACCUGGUAGACAAGCUGCAGCUAAAGGUCAAGGCCUACAAGCGCCAGGCCGAGGAGGCGGAGGAGCAAGCCAACACCAACCUGUCCAAGUUCCGCAAGGUGCAGCACGAGCUGGAUGAGGCAGAGGAGCGGGCGGACAUCGCCGAGUCCCAGGUCAACAAGCUGCGGGCCAAGAGCCGUGACAUUGGCACGAAGGGCUUGAAUGAGGAGUAGCUUUGCCACAUCUUGAUCUGCUCAGCCCUGGAGGUGCCAGCAAAGCCCCAUGCUGGAGCCUGUGUAACAGCUCCUUGGGAGGAAGCAGAAUAAAGCAAUUUUCCUUGAAGCCGAGA
This 772-nucleotide long non-coding RNA is filed under the name Homo sapiens (human). RNAcentral's name for it is "long non-coding RNA NONHSAT169080.1". The record is from RNAcentral. Lineage: Eukaryota; Metazoa; Chordata; Mammalia; Primates; Hominidae.